Oryza sativa Japonica Group (Japanese rice) is the source of this 2745-nucleotide non-coding RNA. The record is from RefSeq and is a predicted model, not a curated record. Lineage: Eukaryota; Viridiplantae; Streptophyta; Magnoliopsida; Poales; Poaceae.
UCUGCUACUUAAUGCUGAUAUGCUCUGUGAAAUCAUGUCCUUUGACCGUUAUCUACAUUUCACUGCGGAACCUUUGUCCACUUUUUUUCUCUUUCGAGGUUGUUCCUCUUAGUUGGUUGCGAAAUUCCUUUUGGCAUAUUAAUAUAGCAACCAGUAAGCAUGUACUUUCCAACAAUCAUACAUGCAAUCCUCGCUUUAAUACCACCUAUUUCUCAUGUUCACUCUAAUACCACAUGAAAAUCCACUCGGUUAAUCUAGUUCUGAUCCCUCCUAAAACCUUUGACAUGUCAAAUUUGCCUGUCUUAUCCCCUCUGCUGUCCUGUUGAUAAUCUGUUCAAUCAGUGUGUCUGUGUCCUCAUGUGGCAUGCCAACCCGGAUAGCAGAAGAGCUACCUGUGUGUGCAAGAGCUAGUGCUGGCCGUGCUGCAGACUGAUUGACAGUGUUGGGCGUGAUAACAGAACAGCCACUGGUCACAGCGUUUGCCAUCAAAAGCGUUUUAAGGAAAUACUGGAGUUGGUGUCUCCAUGUGCUAAAUGUCUUGCUGCAGUUGGCAGGUGCAUCAAAUUGUCUUCUUGAGAAUUACGUCUAGUUUAUAAUUGUAUUGCUGUCAGCAAAGCUUCGAGAGAUACCCGCGUUGGGAGAUAUCCCCUACAAUCUUAUCUUUUGCGGGCAAGGGACCUUUUCCCCAUGCCCUGUCAAUAUUUUAAACUCUGAAAAUAACUUUUCUCUAUUAAUACAUAUACGGCAAAGCUUUUGUCGAUGUUUUAAAAAAUUUUAUUGCUGUUUGUGCCAUGAGAAUUAACCACUUCAGCUACUAGCUAUAAAAAUAUGAAGUAGAAGAAGUUGAAUAAGCCAAUGGGUUGUUUUCUUCAUUUUGAGUAAUUAGAAAACAUGUAUGUUUUUAUUCAGGAUUACAUAUCUUCAGGUCUAUUUGGCACAGUCCUGUUGUAUCCCCAACCAAAAUUUCAUAGCACGAUAUACAUGACUUGCGACAUUUUUACCUUAUUUUAUCAACUGGCUCGAUUAGCUGAUUUUGUCAAGACUCACUCACAUAAUCAAGCUCCAACAAAAGGUUCGAUGCAUUCAUGGCCAAGCAUUCUUUGUGCAUGCAGGUUGGAGUUUGGACUUGCCAAAGUAGUUUGGUUGUUGUAUGUUUUCCCUUUUGGUUUGAGAUCUUCUGGCAAUUUAUUUUAACUUUUGAGGCAACUAUUUUCACGAGGAGAGUGACUCACUUGCAAGGAGUAAGACCUCAUGCAAUUGCCAACUUGCUAUGCCCUUCUCUUACCUUCUUCCUUUCAUCACAUGGACUCUGCUCCCAGAAGCAUUGCUAUUGCCUAUUCCUGUGCUCAUCCCUUUUCUUCUUUCUUUCAUCAUGAAUUGCAAUUUGUCGCAUUACGUGAAUUUGUGCCCCAUCAUUAUUAUCAUCUUGACGUCUCAUAGAUGCUGGCUAUUUUUUUCUCUGGGAUGACAUAUCUAAAGAUUCUCCUAUUCUAAUCGUAGGCUCAGUGGCAUAUUGUAAUCUUAUCUUACUAUUCUAGGUUAUGGAGUUGAGUCAAUGACAUUCAAUGUUAAUUUUCACAAUUUAUGGAGCUUGUUAAGACUUGCAUAUGCGAACCAACUUACUGGAAUUGGCUUUGGUUGGUAGUAAUGUGGAAGGUGGUAAACAAUUCAGAUCAAGAUUACAGUCACCUUCCAGAAUUAGAUCUCAGUGUCAUGCUCAAUCAGGGUACUCUUCACCAAUCACAAGACCAACUCCUCAUCAAUCAUACAAGCCCUGUAAGAAAAUAAUUGUGUUCUUUACCGAUACUGUCAAAGAGGAAGACUCCAUGGACACUCAACACAUAGGAACUAUAUUGCUUUCCAAAAACAGUCUGGAUGGAGUCCGUCUGACUGUGGUGUCAGGUAUCAUCGAUGUUUAUGGUCGCGAGGACUGAGGACUAUGGUAGAGACUUCCACCGAUCUUGAAGGCACUCUGGACCAAGUGUCAGGAAUAUUCUCUUUGUGGGUUGAUAGGGCGAAAUGGACCGUUCAAGGUAUCCCUACUCGUCCAAGGGGGAACAACUAUAGGAAAGGAUCCUACAGUGCUGUCGAGGAUCCAAUUGUUGCUGCUGGGAACACUGCUGUGUUCGUAAGAAAUCAGAUUCCUUUUGCAGCGUUGAGACCCUGAGAAAUGAAUGCAAAAAGGGAAUAACCUGCAUGCUCGAGGAGAUUCUUGCAGGACAGGCUGAGGUUGAAUUUUUCUGCAGGCAAUGAGUCGCUUGCAGAAGGGUUCAGACUUCUCACUUCAGAGAAUCCACAUCUUUUCUUUCAGACUGAAGAGCUUCGGCCUUUUGGAGUGGUUCUGAUGUCGAUAUCCAGGUAGGCGUCGUAGCUACCUCGGAGCAUAGCAGAGCAGCUUUCAGCACCUUGUGUGACUAUCGACUCGUGGUCGUGGAAUCCAUCCAUCCAUACUGUAGGAGAUUGGUGAAAAAGUGACGUGGGUCACGGAGCAGCCGCUGAUGGAUAUAUUGGCAACAUGGCAUCUCCUGUGCAACGUGAAGUACUGAAACUAUGUGUUCCAUCUCGAGUUUUUGGCCAUGUUUUAGUGGAGGGUUUCGAAAGCUCCGGUAAACAAAUGUCAGAUGAAAUAAUCUGCGUUGAUAGAUCCACACACGAUCAUGAGCCCUAUACUUGGAAAACGAGAGAAUCCUGUCGAAUUGUGUCCGAACUGUUUCCCUUUGAAAUCCUUGGAAUUUAUCCGCGUCA